GCGAAGGCGGCUGUCUGGUCUGUAACUGACGCUGAGGCUCGAAAGCAUGGGUAGCAAACAGGAUUAGAUACCCUGGUAGUGCAUGCCGUAAACGAUGAGUGCUAGGUGUUGGAGGGUUUCCGCCCUUCAGUGCCGCAGCUAACGCAUUAAGCACUCCGCCUGGGGAGUACGACCGCAAGGUUGAAACUCAAAGGAAUUGACGGGGGCCCGCACAAGCGGUGGAGCAUGUGGUUUAAUUCGAAGCAACGCGAAGAACCUUACCAGGUCUUGACAUCCUUUGACCACUCUAGAGAUAGAGCUUUCCCUUCGGGGACAAAGUGACAGGUGGUGCAUGGUUGUCGUCAGCUCGUGUCGUGAGAUGUUGGGUUAAGUCCCGCAACGAGCGCAACCCUUAUUACUAGUUGCCAGCAUUUAGUUGGGCACUCUAGUGAGUCUGCCGGUGACAAACCGGAGGAAGGUGGGGACGACGUCAAAUCAUCAUGCCCCUUAUGACCUGGGCUACACACGUGCUACAUUAGGAUGGUACAACGAGUUGCGAGUCCGCGAGGUUUAGCUAAUCUCUUAAAACCAUUCUCAGUUCUUAGGGUAUGCUGCAACUCG
Molecule: ribosomal RNA, 600 nt
Filed under: Latilactobacillus sakei
Lineage: Bacteria; Bacillati; Bacillota; Bacilli; Lactobacillales; Lactobacillaceae
Description: bacterial SSU rRNA
Rfam family: Bacterial small subunit ribosomal RNA
Source: RNAcentral